GCAGGCUUCACGCUUGAAUACAUUAGCAUGGAAUAAUGAAAUAGGACUUUGGUUCUAUUUUGUUGGUUUCUAGGACUAAAGUAAUGGUUAAUAGGGAUAGUUGGGGGCAUUAGUAUUUAAUUGUCAGAGGUGAAAUUCUUGGAUUUAUGAAAGACUAACUUCUGCGAAAGCAUUUGCCAAGGAUGUUUUCAUUAAUCAAGAACGAAAGUUAGGGGAUCGAAGACGAUCAGAUACCGUCGUAGUCUUAACCAUAAACUAUGCCGACUAGGGAUCGGAUGAUGUUAAUUUUUUAAUGACUCAUUCGGCGCCUUACGGGAAACCAAAGUGUUUGGGUUCCGGGGGGAGUAUGGUCGCAAGGCUGAAACUUAAAGGAAUUGACGGAAGGGCACCACCAGGGGUGGAGCCUGCG
This 409-nucleotide ribosomal RNA is filed under the name uncultured Glomus. Its description in RNAcentral is "SSU rRNA". It matches the Rfam family "Eukaryotic small subunit ribosomal RNA", at positions 780 to 1187 of the family's 1831-position model. The record is from RNAcentral. Lineage: Eukaryota; Fungi; Glomeromycota; Glomeromycetes; Glomerales; Glomeraceae.